UAUGGCCAAAUCAUCUUGAAAUACAGGUUCCCAUAUAAUCACCAAAGUUAAACAAUGUUGAACCUGGUCAGUACCUAGAUGGGUGACUAUUUAGGAACAGCAGGUGCUGUAA
This is a non-coding RNA of Acanthosepion pharaonis, 112 nucleotides long. NCBI's taxonomy places the organism in Eukaryota, Metazoa, Mollusca, Cephalopoda, Sepiida, Sepiidae. The record is from the annotation of a GenBank genome assembly.